RNAcentral lists this ribosomal RNA (253 nucleotides) under uncultured bacterium. RNAcentral describes it as "partial 16S ribosomal RNA". It matches the Rfam family "Bacterial small subunit ribosomal RNA", at positions 524 to 776 of the family's 1533-position model. The record is from RNAcentral.
UAAGAAGGGUGCGAGCGUUGUUCGGAAUUAUUGGGCGUAAAGGGUUCGUAGGCGGGAGAGCAAGUUGAGUGUGAAAACCCCGGGCUUAACCUGGGACGUGCACUCAAGACUGUUUUUCCUGAGUAUGGGAGAGGGUGGUGGAAUUGCUGGUGUAGGAGUGACAUCCGUAGAGAUCAGCAGGAACGCCGGAGGCGAAAGCGACCACCUGGUCCAAAACUGACGCUGAGGAACGAAAGCGUGGGGAGCAAACAGG